This 253-nucleotide ribosomal RNA is filed under the name uncultured bacterium. RNAcentral describes it as "partial 16S ribosomal RNA". It matches the Rfam family "Bacterial small subunit ribosomal RNA", at positions 524 to 776 of the family's 1533-position model. The record is from RNAcentral.
UACGUAGGGUGCGAGCGUUGUCCGGAAUUACUGGGCGUAAAGAGCUCGUAGGUGGUCUGUCGCGUUGUUCGUGAAAACUCACAACUCAAUUGUGGGCGUGCGGGCGAUACGGGCAGACUGGAGUACUGCAGGGGAGACUGGAAUUCCUGGUGUAGCGGUGGAAUGCGCAGAUAUCAGGAGGAACACCGGUGGCGAAGGCGGGUCUCUGGGCAGUAACUGACGCUGAGGAGCGAAAGCGUGGGGAGCGAACAGG